This 497-nucleotide ribosomal RNA is filed under the name uncultured bacterium. RNAcentral's name for it is "partial 16S ribosomal RNA". It matches the Rfam family "Bacterial small subunit ribosomal RNA", at positions 28 to 507 of the family's 1533-position model. The record is from RNAcentral.
GAUGAACGCUGGCGGCGUGCCUAAUACAUGCAAGUCGAGCGAACGGACGAGAAGCUUGCUUCUCUGAUGUUAGCGGCGGACGGGUGAGUAACACGUGGAUAACCUACCUAUAAGACUGGGAUAACUUCGGGAAACCGGAGCUAAUACCGGAUAAUAUUUUGAACCGCAUGGUUCAUAAGUGAAAGACGGUCUUGCUGUCACUUAUAGAUGGAUCCGCGCUGCAUUAGCUAGUUGGUAAGGUAACGGCUUACCAAGGCAACGAUGCAUAGCCGACCUGAGAGGGUGAUAGGCCACACUGGAGCUGAGACACGGUCCAGACUCCUACGAGAGGCAGCAGUAGGGAAUCUGCCGCAAAGGGCGAAAGCCUGACGGAGCAACGCCGCGUGAGUGAUGAAGGUCUUCGGAUCGUAAAACUCUGUUAUUAGGGAAGAACAUAUGUGUAAGUAACUGUGCACAUCUUGACGGUACCUAAUCAGAAAGCCACGGCUAACUACGUG